UACGAAGGGGGCUAGCGUUGUUCGGAAUUACUGGGCGUAAAGCGCACGUAGGCGGACUAUUAAGUCAGGGGUGAAAUCCCGGGGCUCAACCCCGGAACUGCCUUUGAUACUGGUAGUCUUGAGUCCGGAAGAGGUGAGUGGAAUUCCGAGUGUAGAGGUGAAAUUCGUAGAUAUUCGGAGGAACACCAGUGGCGAAGGCGGCUCACUGGUCCGGUACUGACGCUGAGGUGCGAAAGCGUGGGGAGCAAAC
RNAcentral lists this ribosomal RNA (250 nucleotides) under uncultured bacterium. RNAcentral's name for it is "partial 16S ribosomal RNA". It matches the Rfam family "Bacterial small subunit ribosomal RNA", at positions 524 to 773 of the family's 1533-position model. The record is from RNAcentral.